CUGAUUGUUAAAUUUUAAAGCAUCCCAAAGUUUGGUUUCACACUUGAAUGAAUACCAUUUGCAAGAUUAUUGCCACAAAUCCAGACACAUCUGUAUUCAAAGGAAGAAGCAGAGAAGAUUGGGCUAUGGUGGAUGCAGAGAGAAAGACGGAAUUGGAUAUGGAAUGGCAGAAGCUAUGACAAACUGCAAGAGUGCCUGGCUGUCACUGUUUAAAAAAUUAUAAUGUUUCUCAAAGAAAUUCCAAAGAACAUAGAAAGGAGACCACAGGAAGAAUCCAGAACUGCUGCCCAUCAUAAAAUUUUUCCAUCUGCAAUUUGUGUCUACAGUGUGCCAGUUAUUGAUGAGGGUGAGGCUGAAGGUGGGACAGUGUGGGGGAGAUUUUUUAAUUGCUCCCCAAUUACCAUAUUCCUCUUUUCUUUUCUUUUUUCUUUUUGAGACAGAGUCUCGCUCUAUAGACCAGGCUAGAGUGCAGCGGCGCAAUCUCGGCUCACUGCAACCUCCGCCUCCCGGGUUCAAGCAAUUCUCUGCCUCAGCCUCCCGAGUAGCUGGGAUUACAGGCGCCUGCCACCAUGCCCAGCUAAUUUUUGUAUUUUUAGUAGAGAUGGGGUUUCACCACCUUGGCCAGGCUCGUCUCGAACUCCUGACCUUGUGAUC
This 654-nucleotide long non-coding RNA is filed under the name Pan troglodytes (chimpanzee). RNAcentral's name for it is "long non-coding RNA NONPTRT004144". Lineage: Eukaryota; Metazoa; Chordata; Mammalia; Primates; Hominidae. The record is from RNAcentral.